Long non-coding RNA from Protopterus annectens (West African lungfish), 437 nucleotides. RefSeq lists it as uncharacterized. Lineage: Eukaryota; Metazoa; Chordata; Ceratodontiformes; Protopteridae. The transcript has 3 exons. The record is from RefSeq and is a predicted model, not a curated record.
UUCAAUGUGGAAAUGGACAACAAAUUAUACUUGGACUAGAAACAAGAAAGGAGAAAAAUAAACGGAACAAACUGUUAAGUGACUGUAGAGGUUUACUGCAAGUGUCCCUGAAGUGAAUCUCGUAUAUCUUCAAAGUUUUCAAGUUUUCCAAGUGGAAUUAGAAGCCAUUCUUUUAAGAGAAGGACGUCCCCAUUCCAUUUCUUCUAUUUUAUUCAGCAGUUUAUGAGCUUUAAUAAAUGCCAGUGCAGAAUCCAAGUCUUCAAAUAUCUUUGGUCCUUCAGGAAGGAAAAUCCUCAAUCUUGCAGGGAACAAAAGGAAAUUACAAUCCUUGUCAUGAAAGAAGAAUUGCAGUGAAAUUAUUCUGUUCAUUUUCCUGUACAGUAUCAAAUUUUAACAAAAAAUGCUUACAGAAAACACCAUUUAGUUAUCGUAUUUGU